UCAUUAAAGAGUUCUAUAACUCCCAAACCCAUGUGAACAUACCUAACGUUGCCUCGGCAGGUCGCACCUACCUUGUAGCACCCUACCCUGUAGGGCCUACCCGGGAGGUGCGGGUAAGCCUGCCGGCGGCCCACCAAACUCUGUUUGAUAUUGAAUUCUGAACCUAUAACUAAAUAAGUUAAAACUUUCAACAACGGAUCUCUUGGUUCUGGCAUCGAUGAAGAACGCAGCGAAAUGCGAUAAGUAAUGUGAAUUGCAGAAUUCAGUGAAUCAUCGAAUCUUUGAACGCAUAUUGCGCCCAUUAGUAUUCUAGUGGGCAGGACCGUUCGAGCGUCAUUUCAACCCUUAAGCCUUCGUUGCUUAGUGUUGGGAGCCUACGGCAACGUAGCUCCUCAAAGUUAGUGGCGGAGUUGGUUCACACUCUAGACGUAGUAAUUUUUUAUCUCGCCUAUUAGUUGGACUAACCCCCUGCCGUAAAACCCCCAAUUUAUCAAGGUUGACCUCGAAUCGGUUCAGACAAACUCGCUAAAUUGAAGCAUCUUAGUCAGCGAAGGAAAAGAAACCAACAGGGAUUGCCCUAGUAACGGCGAGUGAAGCGGCAACAGCUCAAAUUUGAAAUCUGGCCCUCGGGUC
Molecule: ribosomal RNA, 633 nt
Filed under: fungal endophyte
Lineage: Eukaryota; Fungi
Description: eukaryotic LSU rRNA
Rfam family: 5.8S ribosomal RNA (bases 183-336)
Source: RNAcentral